Molecule: ribosomal RNA, 900 nt
Filed under: Neobacillus niacini
Lineage: Bacteria; Bacillati; Bacillota; Bacilli; Caryophanales; Bacillaceae
Description: bacterial SSU rRNA
Source: RNAcentral
AUCUUGAGGUGCUUGCACCUCUUGGUUAGCGGCGGACGGGUGAGUAACACGUGGGCAACCUGCCUGUAAGACUGGGAUAACUUCGGGAAACCGGAGCUAAUACCGGAUAAUCCUUUUCCUCUCAUGARGAAAAGCUGAAAGUCGGUUUCSGCUGACACUUACAGAUGGGCCCGCGGCGCAUUAGCUAGUUGGUGAGGUAACGGCUCACCAAGGCGACGAUGCGUAGCCSACCUGAGAGGGUGAUCGGCCACACUGGGACUGAGACACGGCCCAGACUCCUACSGGAGGCAGCAGUAGGGAAUCUUCCGCAAUGGACGAAAGUCUGACGGARCAACGCCGCGUGAGCGAUGAARGCCUUCSGGUCGUAAAGCUCUGUUGUUAGGGAAGAACAAGUACCGGAGUAACUGCCGGUACCUUGACGGKACCUAACCARAAAGCCACGGCUAACUACGUGCCARCARCCGCGGUAAUACSUAGGUGGCAAGCGUUGUCCGGAAUUAUUGGGCGUAAAGCGCGCGCAGGCGGUCCUUUWAGUCUGAUGUGAAAGCCCACGGCUCAACCGUGGAGGGUCAUUGGAAACUGGGGGACUUGAGUACAGAAGAGGAAAGCGGAAUUCCACGUGUAGCGGUGAAAUGCGUAGAGAUGUGGARGAACACCAGUGGCGAAGGCGGCUUUCUGGUCUGUWACUGACGCUGAGGCGCGAAAGCGUGGGGAGCAAACAGGAUUAGAUACCCUGGUAGUCCACGCCGUAAACGAUGAGUGCUAAGUGUUAGAGGGUUUCCGCCCUUUAGUGCUGCAGCUAACGCAUUAAGCACUCCGCCUGGGGAGUACGGCCGCRAGGCUGAAACUCAAAGGAAUUGACGGGGGCCCGCACAAGCGGUGGAGCAUGUGGUUUAAUUC